GAUGAACGCUGGCGGCGUGCCUAAUACAUGCAAGUCGAGCGAACAGACGAGGAGCUUGCUCCUCUGACGUUAGCGGCGGACGGGUGAGUAACACGUGGAUAACCUACCUAUAAGACUGGGAUAACUUCGGGAAGCCGGAGCUAAUACCGGAUAAUAUAUUGAACCGCAUGGUUCAAUAGUGAAAGACGGUUUUGCUGUCACUUAUAGAUGGAUCCGCGCCGCAUUAGCUAGUUGGUAAGGUAACGGCUUACCAAGGCAACGAUGCGUAGCCGACCUGAGAGGGUGAUCGGCCACACUGGAACUGAGACACGGUCCAGACUCCUACGGGAGGCAGCAGUAGGGAAUCUUCCGCAAAGGGCGAAAGCUUGACGGAGCAACGCCGCGUGAGUGAUGAAGGUCUUCGGAUCGUAAAACUCUGUUAUUAGGGAAGAACAAAUGUGUAAGUAACUAUGCACGUCUUGACGGUACCUAAUCAGAAAGCCACGGCUAACUACGUG
Molecule: ribosomal RNA, 497 nt
Filed under: uncultured bacterium
Lineage: Bacteria
Description: partial 16S ribosomal RNA
Rfam family: Bacterial small subunit ribosomal RNA
Source: RNAcentral